RNAcentral lists this ribosomal RNA (254 nucleotides) under uncultured bacterium. Its description in RNAcentral is "partial 16S ribosomal RNA". It matches the Rfam family "Bacterial small subunit ribosomal RNA", at positions 524 to 776 of the family's 1533-position model. The record is from RNAcentral.
UACGAAGGGGGCUAGCGUUGUUCGGAAUUACUGGGCGUAAAGCGCACGUAGGCGGACUACUAAGUCAGGGGUGAAAUCCCGGGGCUCAACCCCGGAACUGCCUUUGAUACUGAGAGUCUCGAGUCCGGAAGAGGUGAGUGGAAUUCCGAGUGUAGAGGUGAAAUUCGUAGAUAUUCGGAGGAACACCAGUGGCGAAGGCGGCUCACUGGUCCGGUACUGACGCUGAGGUGCGAAAAGCGUGGGGAGCAAACAGG